UUGGAGGGCAAGUUGGUGCCAGCAGCCGCGGUAAUUCCAGCUCCAAUAGCGUAUAUUAAAGUUGUUGCAGUUAAAAAGCUCGUAGUUGAACUUCGGAAUUUGCCCAUUGGUCAGGCUUAACUGUCUGAACUGGUGUGACGAGUUCCUACCUUCUGAGGAAUCUUCAUGCCAUUCAGUUGGUGUGGUGGGAAAUCAGGACUGUUACUUUGAAAAAAUUAGAGUGUUUAAAGCAGGCAUCCGUCUGAAUACAUUAGCAUGGAAUAAUAAAAUAGGACGGUUUGGUUCUAUUUUGUUGGUUUCUAGGAUCACCGUAAUGAUUAAUAGGGAAUAGUUGGGGGCAUUAGUAUUCAAUUGUCAGAGGUGAAAUUCUUGGAUUUAUUGAAGACUAACUACUGCGAAAGCAUUUGCCAAGGAUGUUUUCAUUAAUCAAGAACGAAAGUUAGGGGAUCGAAGACGAUCAGAUACCGUCGUAGUCUUAACCAUAAACUAUGCCGACUAGGGAUCGGACGAAGUUAAUUUUUAAAUGACUCGUUCGGCGCCUUACGGGAAAC
RNAcentral lists this ribosomal RNA (551 nucleotides) under uncultured Glomeromycotina. RNAcentral describes it as "SSU rRNA". It matches the Rfam family "Eukaryotic small subunit ribosomal RNA", at positions 548 to 1098 of the family's 1831-position model. The record is from RNAcentral. Lineage: Eukaryota; Fungi; Glomeromycota.